AGGAAAGGAACUGCCUAGAUAGCUGCAGGAAGCCUCGUUUGUGAGGUGCUAUGGGCUGUAUGCUAUCAGGAGAAGAGCUGCAGAGGGUAGGAUGGCCCUGGCUCCAGUGAAGGAAUCAGUGUUGAGAGAAUACCUACUAUGUAAAGAGUCUAGGUGUGGUGCAGAAGAAUGUUAAAGCAGCAACAGCGGCUACCUGUGCUUCAACCAUCAGUCCUUACCCAACCAAUGGUGUGGAAAUGCAAGAGAAUCCGUAUAACCCUGACCUCGGAUUCCUGAACACUGCUGCUUCACAUGGAAACACCUAAGGCAGAGGUUGGCUGUACUGCAUUGUACAGCAGGCAGUUCCUUUUCCACAUUGAAAAUAGUUUGGUUUUUCUAAGUAUUCAGUAUAAAGAAGAGCUGCUUCUGGAAAGAGGAGCAUGUUUAUACAAAAAGCAGUUUUGUAUUACUAUUUCUGUUGUGUUUGAAUAACACUUCUUCUCCCUCACCAUCCAGUUUCGGCUUCCAACAGCCUUCAUACCACAUUUGUGAUCCGAGUAGGUGGCUAUGGAAAGCCACAUCUCAGUAUGAGGCCCUGGCUGAGAUAUUAAAGUUGGUGGUUCUUUAAACGUGACCUCCCAUGUAGAGCAGUGCAAACUCUACCAGAGACUUGGGUCCUGAAACUCAGGCUGGCUUCUUUCUUUCUUGUACAUUAUCACCAGAAAUAAAGAUUCUAGAGGCCAUGGUUUAGUACCUCAUUGACACCUCUGCAAAAUCCAUCACCUUUUAGUGUGGUUGCACAUGAGAAAUGGAAAUCAGAAUAUGAAGGCAAUAGGGUUGCACUUGUGUAAUUGAGUUGCAACAUUUGACUUGAAGUAUCUUAGUGCUGGGAUGUGUGAGAAGGAGAGCUCAGUUUGACUCGAAGUCCAAGUUGAGUUUGCUGGGCUGUUAGUUGGAAAAAUGACCUGAAUUUAGCAAAUCUCACAUGGAGUCACACACACUGAAUAUUAGCCCCAUGAUUCCAUUGUUACAAAGUCACUUUUCAGGGAAAAGCUAAACUUUAAUCUGAAAGCUGACAUUUAACAUGUUUAAUUGCCUAUUUAUAUUUAGAUCAUAUUUCUUGUUUCCCCAUCCUUUUUUGACAUUACUGAAAUAAGCGUCUUACCCCUCUUCCAAAUCAGGACAUUAUUCAAGUAGGUGUUUUAUAUUGCUUUUUCAGUUGACAUUUACAUGCUAGUUUUAGUCCCAAACUAAAUUUUCUUUAAUUCUUAGUCUCAAACUAAAUCCGUUUGUGUUAUAAAAAUGUGAAAAGGAUGUUUGCAUGUUCUAAGAAACAUUAGAUGCUGUUUUUCCUGCUCAGUUAACUGAAAAAUGGUUUCUCUUUAAAACUUUAGAUUUGCCAUGGACUUAAUCCUAGAAAGUGGAGAAAUGCUUCUGAAAAUAUUGGCUUAAAUCUAGCCCUGAUGUACAACAGGUUCAGCUCCAUGUUUGCACCCACUUACACCACAACUGAUUUUGGUCUUUUUGGUUUAGAAAUAAUAGAUGUGUUUUGAAAAUAUUGCUGGAAAAAUCACAUUCAGAAAGCACAUUGAUACAUUCAGAAAAUUGUAGUGAGUAUGCACCUGGAACUUCACACAGUGGGCUGUCAGAUGUGACUAAUUCUUAUCAAGCCAAGAUGAGAAUCUAGCCCAUGGAAACAUAUUACAUUUAUUUCAGUUGUCAUCCUAUACACAUGGAAAGAUUCACAUAAAGACACUGGGCCAAAUCCAGAAUUAGUAGGGACAAUUCUGUUGACUUCAACGGUGGCAUAUAAGUUGAUUUACACGUUGGAGUCAAUUUAUUUGAAUUUGCAGACAGCCAAUUUUUCUUGAUUAAAAACAAAUUCAAUGCAAAAUUUCAGGUCAGUCCAACAUAAUGGUUGAGCAUUUAAUGCCAAAAGGUCAGGAAAGUCCAUGGCAGAAUUGGGACUACAAACCAGAUCUCAGGACUUCAUAUGCAGUAUGUAUAUUGGUUGUAGAAAAACCUACAUUAAAAGGGAACUUAACACAAAGUCAGGAAGUUGUUAUGGUUUCCACAUCAAGUGAAUUAUUCUCUUUUCUUAUGAGUCAUCUUAAAUGUUAUACACAGGCUGUUCAGGCCUGGAAUUAUUUUAGGGGUGUGUGUGUGUUUGCACGUGCAAAUAGA
Long non-coding RNA from Chelonia mydas (Green sea turtle), 2163 nucleotides. RefSeq lists it as uncharacterized. The record is from RefSeq and is a predicted model, not a curated record. Lineage: Eukaryota; Metazoa; Chordata; Testudines; Cheloniidae. The transcript has 3 exons.